AGGGUAAAGAUCUUGGGAACAGGAGCCUUUGGCACUGUUUACAAGGGAGUCUGGGUUCCAGAAGGGGAAACGGUGAAGAUUCCAGUGGCUAUAAAGAUACUCAAUGAAAGCACAGGACCUAAAGCCAAUGUGGAGAUUAUGGAUGAAGCACUGAUCAUGGCCAGCAUGGAGCAUCCUCAUCUGGUCCAUCUUUUGGGGGUCUGCUUGAGUCCCACUAUUCAGCUGGUAACUCAGCUCAUGCCCCACGGCUGCCUGCUGGACUACGUACAUGAACACCAGGAGAACAUCGGCUCCCAGCUGCUGCUCAACUGGUGCGUGCAGAUUG
Sinocyclocheilus grahami is the source of this 325-nucleotide long non-coding RNA. RefSeq lists it as uncharacterized. The record is from RefSeq and is a predicted model, not a curated record. The transcript has 3 exons. NCBI's taxonomy places the organism in Eukaryota, Metazoa, Chordata, Actinopteri, Cypriniformes, Cyprinidae.